AUGCCUCUUUCUAGUAAGGAGAGGGGUGCACGUUUCCGUGCAAAGCAAAGGGCAGAUCCUGCAGCUAGAGAGGAGAACCUAGCUAAGAGGAGGGAAAGGCAACGGCAGAGGAAACAAGCUGGACAGGGUGAUUAUUAUCGUGCUGUCAAAGAGUUGACAGUAGCUGCACAUGCAAAGAGGACGGAACAGUGGAGGCUCAACCAGAGACGAUGCAGAGAGAAAAAGAGGCAGGUGGAGGCAUUGAUGAAUCUGACACCAGUGUCUGAGGACUCUUUUGUGGACGAACACCAUGACCAUCCUGGGCCGUCUCAACACUCCUCACCACCUGGGCCGUCUCAACACCCCUCACCACCUGGGCCGUCUCAACACUCCUCACCACCUGGGCCACACUGUUCAACUCCUCAUAAACCCCUAAAGAAAACAACCUCCAGCAGUCGAACAAGGGUACGUAUAAAGAAACUGAGAGAGGAGAUAAAACAGCUAAAAAAGGAUGUUGUAAGAGAAAAGAGAAGAGCAGAUAGAUUUCGCAAGAAAGCCAACAGGGUGAUGACAGCAAAAUACAGAAAAGCAAGAAAAAACAUGUCAACAAAGGUUUUCAGGAAGGGGCCAGCAAGAAGACAGAGUGUGGUGGAGUUCCUCACUAGAGAUGAGAACAGCCGUCUCCUAGCUGGAAAAAAGGACACAGUAUCAAAGGUUAGGGUCAAAGAACAGCGUCGGGUGUUGACAAAGUCUUUAAAAGAGCUUCAUAAAGACUACAAUGCAGAGGCAGGAGAGGGACGGGCAGUGUCAUACCGGCAGUUUGUCCGCCUCUGUCCAUUUUAUGUAACUGAGCCAAAGGCUAUUGACCGAAACACCUGUGCCUGCCUAGACCAUGAGAAUGUAAGCCUUCUACUCGAGAAACUACACCAGAGUGGCCUUGUUACCAGUAGAAGUACUUCUGAAGCACUCGCGCACAUUGUGUGCGAUUUGAAAAGUAGGGCGUGUAUGUUUAGGCUGUGUGCGAAGUGCUGCUAUAACGAUAUGGAGCUACUCCUACCAGACAAAACCCGCCAGGUGUCAUGGAGUCAAUGGGAGAGGGAGAAGGUCUGCACUGAAGGUAAAACCUAUUCACAUUUUGUGAAGAAAACUCUGACUGGGACGUGGGAGGAUCUCAUGAAGAGUUUCAAUGAAAAAUGAAAAGGCGCGCCAGAUG
Long non-coding RNA from Cyprinus carpio (common carp), 1192 nucleotides. Lineage: Eukaryota; Metazoa; Chordata; Actinopteri; Cypriniformes; Cyprinidae. The record is from Ensembl.